UGGUCAUUACCAAGGCUUUGAGAAUGCAGUUUCUCAUUUGCUGUGGACAUGACCACAAAAAAAUUAUCCCACUAGGUUUUCUUUCUUUCUGCUACUUUGUUAGCAUUCAGCCUAUUGGGAACAUUU
Small nucleolar RNA from Ailuropoda melanoleuca (giant panda), 126 nucleotides. The record is from Ensembl. Lineage: Eukaryota; Metazoa; Chordata; Mammalia; Carnivora; Ursidae.